This 14494-nucleotide long non-coding RNA is filed under the name Populus trichocarpa (black cottonwood). RNAcentral's name for it is "long non-coding RNA (PTRI_LNC001040)". The record is from RNAcentral. Lineage: Eukaryota; Viridiplantae; Streptophyta; Magnoliopsida; Malpighiales; Salicaceae.
ACUGCAGCAUAAAGAUUACGUUCCAGCGAACUUGGGUUGGGUGAUGAAUAUAAGUGAUUCUGAUAUUUCCAUUUAUUGCAACACGUAUUACAAUGAAUCCUUCAAAUCUGAAUGUGCGUGUCGGCGUGGAUUUGAGGGUAACCCUUACCUUGAACUUGGUUGCAAAGGUAAAUAUUGAUCUAACUUUUUUCUUGAUUUAUUUAUUAUUUUUAUUCAAGCAAUAGUUUUUUUUGUGUGUGUUUAUGUAAUCAAAUUUAAUUAUGGUAAGUGUCAGAUUAAAAUAAAAUGUUAAUUAACGAUGGCAAAUACAUGAUUGGUUUAGAAUCAGGAAGUAGUUUAGUAUUUUAAUACUUAUUUUCAAAAUUUUAUUUUUAAUUUAUUCCGGUUUGUAUUAAUUACUUUUAGCUAGAUAUUAACUGUGGAACCAAAAUUAAUAAAAAUUAAUUACUUGGCAACUGACAUGGUGAUUACUUUUUAUUUGGUUCAAGAGGUGGCCCUCCUCCUCCAUCUCCAAAUUUUAAUAUAUUUCAUAAUUAUUUGUAUAUGAGAUGGUGAUUAUUUUUGCUUUCUUAUUUUAUUAGAUGUUGAUGAAUGCAAGACCCCAGAGAAAAAUACGUGCCGAGGGAUGCUCAAAUGCGUGAAUACACGAGGAGGGUUCAAAUGCGCGAUAAAUAAAAUUUAUAUAAUUAUCAUAGGUACGGAGGUUUCUGAUUUAUUCCUUUCGACUUGUUAAUGCCUGUCACUAAUGUUCAUUUUCAGCUUUAUAGUUUUUAUGAAAUGUUAUAUUGGUCCUCAUACAAUGAGCAUUCACUAAUUUAUGGCUUGAUCAUAUAAACAGAGAAAUGAUUAAAUGAUUAAUUCUACAUAAUUAAUCUAGCAUGCUACUAUUCAGCAGUCAUAUAUGUGAGCUCAAAUGUCAACAUAUUAAUUAAGAUUUAUGCGUUGCUGUAAAUAACGCAGUUGUAGGAUCAGUCAUCUUUAUAUUGGUACUGCUGUUUGGCCUUUGGUGGAUAUAUAAACUUGUAAAGAAGAGGCAGAACAAGGAACUCAAAAAGAAAUUCUUCAAACGUAACGGUGGGCUAUUGUUACAGCAACAAUUAUCCACCAGUGAUGGUAGCGUUCAGAAAACAAAAAUAUACAGUUCCAAGGAGUUGGAAGUAGCCACCGAUGGUUUUAAUGUUAGCAGAAUACUUGGAGAAGGUGGUCAAGGCACUGUUUACAAGGGAAUGUUAACAGAUGGAAGAAUUAUUGCUGUUAAAAAGUCCAAAGUCAUUGACGAAGAAAAUCUCGAAGAAUUUAUUAACGAGGUCUUCAUUCUCUCACAAAUCAACCACAGAAAUGUGGUUAAGUUGCUAGGUUGUUGCUUGGAGACUGAAGUUCCUAUACUGGUAUAUGAAUUCAUUUCCAAUGGAAAUCUUUACAAGUAUAUCCAUGUUCAAAACGAUGACUUCUUGUUAUCUUGGGAAAUGCGAUUACGGAUUGCCAUUGAGGUUGCGGGAGCCCUUUCUUAUCUACACUCGGCAGCAUCGAUUCCAAUUUAUCACCGUGAUAUCAAGUCUACAAACAUACUCCUAGAUGAGAAAUAUAGAGCCAUAAUAUCAGAUUUUGGAUCUUCAAGAUCCAUUGCCAUCGAUCAAACUCACUUGACCACUCAUGUGCAGGGUACUUUUGGCUACUUGGAUCCAGAGUACUUUCAAUCUAGUCAAUUUACAGAAAAAAGCGAUGUUUAUAGCUUUGGAGUGGUUCUGGUUGAGCUUUUAAGUGGACAAAAACCGAUAUUUUCCGCUAGCCCGACAGAAAGUAGAAGUUUAGCCACGCAUUUUAUCAUGUUGAUGGAAGAUAACAGGUUGUUUGAUAUUCUUGAUGCUAGAGUCAAACAGCAUUGCCAUAAUGAAGAAGUUGUUGCUGUCGGCAAUCUUGCAAGAAAAUGCUUGAAUUUGAAUGGGAAAAAUCGGCCAACAAUGAAAGAAGUAACCACAGAGUUAGAGAGGGUAAUUCAAAAGGGAUCAAAUGUUCAACAAGACAGUCAAGAGAAUGAAAGUAUCAUGGCUGAUCUCAGUGUGCGAUACAUGGGAUGCAUUUCCGACAUCAAUAAUGACUUUUAGCAAGGAGACUUAGAUAAAAAAAAAAUUAAAUAUUUUUUUUAUUAUAUAUUCAAUAUUAUUAAAGUUUUCUAGUUUUUUUUAAAUAAAGAGUUGUCAUGACUUUUAGCAAGAAGACUUAGAUAAAAAAAAAUUAAAUAUUUUAUGUGUUUCUCUAUUAUUUUUAUUUUUUAAGAGUUUUCAUUUAUAACAAACUUUAUUAUCAUUUACUUCUCAAUUAUCAGUCAUUUUAUGUUAAAAAUAAGAUUUAUAACUAAAAAUAAAAAGAUAAAAUAACUAAAAAAAGUAUCUUAAAUUGCUAGACAUAAUAAUUGAUUAUGUAAGAGCAGUACUACUUCAUUCGAUCGUAAAACGAUCUAGAGAAACAAAUCUAAUUAACCUUCCAAAUAUCCAUUAACAUUUUUUUAAUCAAGCAAGAUCGAAAGAUUAAAAUAAUAUAAUUAAUGGACAUAUUGGAAUAAAAGUCAUUAUUGACUGAUUAUCAUAAGAAAUUACAUUUAGUCAACGACGCAUGAGCUUAGAAGAAGCAUGCAAAAUUCUCCGGUGGCUAUAUAAAGACAUGAUCAAACCUAGUAUUGUCGAAAACCAAACUCAAAGAAGAAUAGAAGAAAUAAAAAUAACAGUAUGCAGGUUCUGAAACUUGUCUCCCAUGUUUCUUUCUUGUUAUUAAUGCUGAUGUUUCAGCCAGCAACAGCGCCAGCACCGGCUGGUCUGGCCGGCAAAACCUAAUUGUUCGGACCAUUGUGGAAAUAUUAGCAUUCCAUACCCGUUCGGGAUUGGAAAGGAUUGCUACAUGGCGGAAUCUUUUGACGUUGAAUGCGAUGAAACUUCCAAACCUCCUAGAGCUUUUUUACGUAGCAUCAAAAUGGAGCUGGUGAAUAUUACAUUAGAAGGAGGUGCAGUUGUCAACGGUCCAGUGAUAUCCGUUCAUUCUUCGGGCCGGCAAGAAGGUGUACCUGUGAAUUUGGAAGGAACUCCUUUCCUCUUUUCCUAUACCAAUUAUUUCAUUGCAGUGGGCUGCAAUACUCGAGCCAGUUUGUGGACAAAAAAUGGCUCGACCGAACAUGUUGGAUGCGACUCAAUUUGCUCCAACGGUAGUUCCAUUAGUAAUAUUCAGCUUGAAAAUGGUGCAUGCUCUGGUAAGGACUGUUGUCAAGGUAUGUACUGGCCUCCCUCACUUCAGGUUUUCAAUUCAACUUUCGAGUUAAUAGAGGGUAAACAAGGAAGUGACGGGCGUAAAGUACUGGCCUUCCUAGCAGACAUGAAUUGGUUUGAUUCCAAAAUGAAAAAUCCCCAAGAAAUCAACAAAUUGCCAAGUACUGUUCCUAUGUCGCUUGGUUGGAUACUAAAUAACAAUAGUUGGACAUACAACAAAGAUACCAUGGAUUGCUACGUAACGCGAAUAAAUAGUACGACAAAUAUGACAGCCGGACGUUGUUCUUGCUCAGAAGGUUACGAGGGCAAACCUUACCUUCAAUGCAGAGGUAAUUUUUCCCACACAAAAAUAUAUUAUCCCUUUUUCAGUUAUUAUAGUUGCUGUUAAUUAUUCUUGUUAUGAUUUAUAUUUCUUUUGAUUGUAUACAUAGAAGUUGUAACAAACCAUACUUAUUAAAUAUUACUCGGAGCGGGCUAGAAUUGAUAUGAUUUAAUAAUUAAAGAAAAUAAAAUUAAAAUCAUGUUAUUGUGAAUAAUUUUUUUAAAAUCAACAAGUUUUUAUCGAAUUAUGGAUAAAUUUAGAUUUUUAAUUAAAUCAUACCAAUUUAUGAUCAAAUAUAACUCAGGCGGAGCUCUGCAUUAACUGUAACUCAAGUCUACUUGUUGGACCGAUACAGUUUAAUAACCAUGCUAAGAACGCAAAUAUCUAUGGAGUGAACACAUAACUGAACCAUAUAAAGUUUAGUGAAAAUUUGUUGUCCGCAAAACUGAAAAAUAAUUGUUCUCACUAAAAAAAAUAUAUGAUACAAUUAAAUUAUAAUAUUGGGAUUAAUUAAUUUUAAGGAAAGUAGUUUUAUAGGAAAAUAGUCUCAUAUGUCUUUAGAUUUGUAUUAUCCGAAUAUAUAGAAAAUACUUCCAAUGAGUUCCUAUAUCUAUAUGCAUGUAUUUAAUAUAUUACAUCUAUUAUAUUUUUAAGGUAUCAAAAAGUCCUUAAUAUAUGUUUAAGGAAUCUCAAUUCAACAAUAUUGCAACAGGAAAUUAUAUAAUUGUUGGAAAAAAAUGGUUUUUAGACAUAUUCAAAGCCUAAUCAAACAUACGAAUUGAUUCAUUUCUGUUGGUUUCUUUAUACAUUAGACAUUGAUGAAUGUGAAGACCGAAACAGUACUUGCCAUGGAUUGACAAGAUGUGUGAAUACAAAAGGGUCGUACAAAUGCGAACUUCAUCCUUUAUGGUUUACUGUUCUAGGCAUGUAUCUCUUCUCUCUUAUUGUUUUUAUAUUAUUUUAUACUCUACGUUUUUAAAAUAAAGAAAACUCUAAGCAGACAAAUUUAUACAUUAAAAAAAUAUAAAGGACCGGAAAUUGCAAUUUAAUUUUUAUAUUUUUUAAUGCAAUUAUACGUUAAUUAAUCUUGCUGAGAAUAUCAUAAAUAAUUCAAUACUAUUUACAGAUACAAAUAUUUUUUUAAUAUAUUACUAGUACAAUUUCAAAACCUAGUAUUUCACUCUUACAUUUGAUUUUUCACUCUCUUCCUCUCUCUUUGUGCUCUCUCUUCUUGGCUUAAUUUUACAUUUAAUUUUCUAUCUUUUUUUUUUGUUAUGUUUAAAAUUGUUAUGAUUAUGACAUAUGAAUUGUUUAUUUAUCAAUGUAUUUAAUUAACAAGCUCCAUCUUGAACACGCAAAUUACCAAGGUAACCAUAUAGUAAAUUAGCAAGUAAAUUCAAUUAGCUUUGUACAUGUGGAACUUUAGGUUAACAACAGAAAAACUUAAGCUAUACGGAUAUAAGUGGAAUAUUGAUGAAUUUAUAUGAGUAAAAAUGAAGUUUACCCUUUUGUAAUUAAUUUGAGGAUGGUAAAUCAACUUUAUUUUCCAGCAAGACUGAAAACCUAUAAUAUUACAAGCUAUUCACAAAUCUUGCUAUAAUGUAACAAUCAUACAGUUAUCUGUCUGGCCCUUGGAGUACUGUUCUUGCUUAUUGGUGCUUGGUGGAUGUCCAAACUUAUCAAACGAAGGAAGUGCAUUCAGUUGAAGAAGAAGUUUUUCAAACGGAAUGGUGGUCUCUUAUUGCAGCAACAAUUAUCCUCCAGUGAUGGUACUGUUCGUAAGACAAAAGUAUUCAGUUCAAAUGAGUUGGAAAAGGCGACCGAUUUUUUUAAUGAGAACAGAAUACUUGGUCAUGGCGGCCAAGGCACCGUUUACAAGGGAAUGUUAGCUGCUGGGACUAUCGUUGCAGUUAAGAAGUCUAAGAUAAUGGAUGAAGAUAAACUAGAAGAAUUCAUCAACGAGGUUGUCAUUCUUUCACAAAUCAGUCACAGAAAUGUGGUUAGACUACUCGGAUGUUGCUUGGAGACUGACGUUCCUCUGCUAGUCUAUGAAUUCAUUCCCAGUGGAACUCUUUUCCAAUAUCUCCAUGAGCAAAACCAGGACUUUACGUUAUCAUGGGAGUUGCGGUUACGAAUUGCCUCGGAAGCUGCAGGUGCGAUAUUCUAUCUUCACUCGACAGCAUCUAUCCCGAUUUAUCACCGAGACAUUAAGUCCACAAACAUACUCUUAGAUGAGAAAUAUAGAGCAAAAGUUUCAGAUUUCGGAACUUCAAGAUCAGUUUCCAUCGAUCAAACUCAUCUGACCACCAAGGUGCAAGGUACUUUUGGUUACUUAGAUCCAGAGUAUUUUCGAACCAGUCAAUUAACAGAAAAGAGUGAUGUUUAUAGUUUUGGAGUAGUUGUUGUGGAGCUCUGAAGUGGGAAAAAACCAAUUUUCUUAACCCAUUCACUGGAAACCAUGAGCUUAGCCGAACAUUUCAUUGAAUUGAUGGAAGAUGGUAGACUCUUUGAUAUCAUUGAUGCCCAGGUUAAGGGGGAUUGCACUGAAGAGGAAGCCAUAGUUAUAGCGAAUCUUGCAAAGAGAUGUCUGGAUUUGAAUGGAAGAAACCGGCCAACAAUGAGAGAAGUUGCAAUGGAAUUGGAGUGGAUUCUAUUAUCACGUAACGGUAUCAAUAUUCAACAAAUUGUUGAAGUGGAUAAUUCAUCGAGGUCGAUUUCCUGCAGCAGUUUCGAGAUUGGUAUAGAUCUACCAUUAGAUUGCUAACCGUCGAUUUCUUCUGAAACAUGGUGAGCGAUUAAGAAAAUAUAUCACAAAUCAUAUGUUUCUUUUUUGUUUUUAAGAGUGUUAGGAGCGUUUCUGAUUGAAUAAAAACUUAUAUUUGUAUUGUGGUCCUUGUGUUUUAGCACAUGUUCUUAGUCUUUCAUGUUAAGAACUUAAUAAAUUAAAAAUCCUUCGCGUUGAUUAUAAAAGAGUUUCUUUGAUCGAUUGGUAACUUGAGCCAUGUCUCUCUCUUGAGGAAACAAAACCAUCAUCAAACCGUCGAUUUUUUAUUUGUUUCUGUAUUUUAAAAAUAUUUUUUAAAAAAUUAAUAUUUUUUAUUUUUUUAUUUAAUUCAAAUUAAUAUGUUUUUAGUAUUUUCAAAUCAUUUUGAUAUGCUGAUGUCAAAAAUAAUUUUUAAAAAAUAAAAAAAACAUCAUUAACAUGUAUUUUGAUAUAAAAAAUUAUUUAAAAAACAACCACAACCACACUACCAACGCAAAAUUGAAUUCAAAAAGGGUGGUUUAAACUGCCUAAUUUACAUAAAAUACUUGAAUUCGAAAUUUAAAGAUAUAUAGAAGCUGGGCCUCUGCAGUUUGGUUAGUUUAUUAAUGCGGGUUGGAUUUUUUUUUAUAUAAAUAAAACUGAAUAAUUAUUAAUGCGGGUUGUGAAACUUUCAUCCAUAAGUUUUGGAGCCUUGAUAAGUAAACCAAGAGUCUUCCUGUCUGUAUUUGAUAGACCUGUCAACUGAAGAUAGAAAGAAAAAAACUAAAUUCAAUCCUAUAUUUGCAUUAAGAACAAAAAACAGUAGCCUUUAAGAAAUAGUAGUGUUAACCCAUUUUGGAUCCUCACAAAUAAAAUAAAUAAAAAUAAUAAUAAAUAAAUAAAAACCAAAACAGUGUAGACAUUAUUCUCUCUCUCCCGCAUGCUGCUCCCAAAACCCCAUGGCUAGAAAACAGUGCAGGCGUGCCCUGCAAAGCCACGCUCAUGGGAGACCUCACCCGGUGUCCCCUGCUCCCCAGGCGCAACAGCAGGCCGCUCCCCUGCUCCCCACGCGCAACAGCAGGGAUUUGCCCUAUAAAUACUGCUCAACACCAGCAUAGAAAGGAGGAGGGAGAGAAGUUUGAACGAGAGAAGAGAGAACGGAGAGAAAGGAAGGAAAGAAUACAGAGAAGUUUGAAACGAGGAGAGGUACUGUGAGAAUGUAGAGAAGAGAGAAACCAAAACAGUGGAGGGAGUUCUUUUUGGAGGGAGGACGGGAGGUGCAGUUUUUUUUAGUUUUGAAGGAGUGACAGGGGAAAGAAAGAAGGGAGAACAGGGGGGGAAUUUCUGAAUAAGAGGAGAACGGAGAGAAUAGGAAGAGAGGAAACGAAAUAGAAAAAGGAGUGAAGAAGACGGGGACGUUCUGAAAUAGACAAACACACCCACACUGCCAACACCAUUGUCAUUUUUCCUCAGCUCACCAUCUUCUCCCCACACGUUGCAGCACCAUUGAAGAAAAGGCAGCAACCUGCGACUCUGCAAGGAGAAGAAGAAGAACCGUGCCUCACCCUCUGGAACCACUGCCAUUCUGCCACCAUCAGCACUGCCAACAACAGCAGAACCACCGCUUGGAAGAAGAACCAGAGAAGCAAGGUGACAGAAACCAGAGGAAGAAGCUAAAGAGAGUAACGAACAGCUGAAAGAAGGAAACACCAGAGACAGAGUAGAGAAAGCCAAAAACGGAAGAGAGGGAGCCGCUGCAGAGAGGAAAGAACAGUUGCUGUCACCGGGCUCCUCAGCCACCGGCCACCGUCCAAGCCACUCCCCAGGCCGCCACCACCAGCACCUCCACGAAGCCGCUGCAGAGAGGGAAGAACAUUGUUGACAGCAGAAAACACCAGAGAUCAAAAGGAGAAGAAGCAAACAGAAGCAAACGGGGAAGGAAAACAGAGGCUGGCGUCUCUGCACGGGAAAAAAGAAGAGAAAACAGCUGCUGUCACUGGGUUCCACAGCCACCGACCACCGUCCCAGCCAUCCUCCGGUCAGCCGCCACCAGCAGCACCGCGAGCGUACGCCAUUACCAUCGUCUUCAAGCAUCGUUUCCGCUACCAGGUUUGCUCCCCGCGUCCCUGUGCAUGCAAUUCCAUUCUUUGCAUUUCAAUGUUCAAGUGAAUUAUAAUUCACUUGAACAGUGAAAAGCUUUUCCAGAUGCAGCUAAAUAACAUGGUGCAGUAUUCACAAACAUGAGGGAGGAAAGCAUGAAGUCACCUUCAAAACUCUUGGCAUGCACUCGGAAGAAGUAUUUGCAUGUUGAGUCAAAUGCUAAAUUCCCAGACAUUCUGGUAUAUUGUUCACAACCAGGAAAACUAAAUAACAUGGUGCAGUUUUCACAACCAGGAAAACUAUGGAGAUGGAUUUGUGUUUUUUGUGUACAAGAAGCUCUGUAUUGGAUGAAUAUGAGCUCUGUUUUUGGUUCCUCCUGGUUGACGAAGGCUCCCCAUUUCUUGCCUUUGUUCGUCUCUUUUUAUUGUAGAGCAAAGGUUGGAAUUAACGUAGUUUAGCAUAAUUUCUAGGACUUGAUUCUUGGAGACUUGAUUGAAGAUUUGGGCUGCAAUUAUGAUAUUGCAAUCUGGUUUAAUUGCUUUAGAUCUUCUGGAGAUUGCAAUCUCUGGCUUAAUUGCUUGGGAUUGCAAUGAAAAAUCUAAAAUUCAUCGUUGGAUUUUGGGGUUUAAUUGGACUAGAAAUAAAUCAAUUAAAAAUAAUUGGAUUCAAAUUGAGUUAACUUGGGACUAAAUUGAAUCAAACUAAUUCAAUUAGACUGGUAUGAUUGAAAUGAAUUGAAAUAAAAAUCCAACAAACAUUCUUUAUUCUCAUUAUAGUCCUUGGAUUUUGAAUUGCUUCAAUUUGCUUUAAAUCACCUUUUUCUUUCUAAUUGUAUCCCCAAUUAAAUUAAUUUAGGCCUGCAAAUCAAUCAUUGGCUCCUAAAAUUAAGUAAUUUUAAUCAAUUUAACUCUCAAUUUUGAUAUUCUUCUUCUUCAAUUAAUCCCUUCGUCAAUUUAUAAUUUGGCUAUUUGUUUCAAAAUCAACCUUGAACAUAAACUUUCGUUAACUCUUAGCAAAAUUAAAUUAUAUUAAGUCAUUUUCUUUUUUAAUUCAAACCUUGUUUUUGCCUAUGAAGCUUGAUUAUCGGUCCAAAUUCAAAUCCUAGCUAUUUUUUUAUAUUUUGAAAAAAUUUCUUUAUUUAUGCAUUUUGUAUUUUUUAUGAUUUUCAAGAUGUUUUGACACACAAAAUUAAAUAAAAAGGAAGAAAAUAAUAAAAUGAUUAAAAUAGCUAAAAUUAUUGAAAAUACAUAUUGUUUUGGAUUUUUCUAAUUUUUUUCAAAAUAUAUAAAAAAAUGAGGGUAAAAUUAGGUUUCAACAUUGAGCAUUGAUAUAUAUACUUGAUAAAAAAAAAGGAUUUGUGUUAGUAACUGCCAGAAAUGGUAAAAACCAUAGAUGAAAACUUUUCAAGAGUAUUAGGCGUGAAUUGAUCACACUAUGUAUUUCCUUUCCCCCUUUUAUUUUAUUUUCUUUGGGACAUGCAUGAAAGUGAACAUUCAACAUCGAGGACUACAGGGGGGUUGGAAUUUGGUGGGCUGUGUUAAGUGCGAAAAAAAAAAAACUGUUCCAAAUCAAUAAAUUGCAAGGACUUUUCUGGGUACAAUACCUAAAUAAAAGUGAAAGCAAAUAUUGGUUCAUAAUUUAAAACUGUAUCAUAGACGUGACCAGUUUGAUUAUUGAUUAAUUUCUGAUAGAAAGUGCAUUCCACAUUAUAAAAAAGUGGAAGCAUUAACAUUUGCUUUUCCAUCUGAAAAAGGAAACGAAAACGAUUGCUUCAUGAAUAAAUGGUUGUCAAUUGUUUGUUUGCAACAAAUCAACUUUGACCAGUUCAAUGAUUUCAAUCAUGGCCAGGAUUAGUUUUUUAAAAACCAAAAAUCAAGAAAAAAGACUUUUUAAAGAAUUUUAGUGGUAAGGAUUUAGUAUUGAAUAAUUAAUUAAUCACUUUAUUUUAGUAAUUUAGUAAUUUGAUUCAUGUAAAUCAAUGUAGCUGGUAGAAGAUGUCUGUAAAAAAUCUUAUUCGGUAAAUAUACAAACUUUCAAAUUUCUAUGAAAAUAUUUUAUUCGAAAGAGAAGGUAAAAUUUAGAUCUAACCUAGUUUAAUUUAAGUUUCAGCUUAUUAGUUUAUCAAGUUAAAUCAAAUUAAUUUUAAAUCAGUGUAUUUAUUUUUAAAUAACAUUAAUGUUUUUAUAAAAAGUUAAAAAAUAAAUUUCUUAAUUGAUUUCAUCUAAAUUAGGAGUUUACCCGUUAAAUCACCUGCGUUUAACAAAUUUAAUUUUCAAAAUGGUUCAAAAACAAAUCUCAUACGGGCAAAAUUCUAGGUCAACAAAACACCAUGUCAACCUGCCAUACCAUGUGUUGGAACCCAUUUUUGGGUCCCCACAAAUAAAACAAAAAUAUAUAAUAAUAAUAAUAAUAAAAAAAAAAAGAAUUUGAACAGUGUCGUUUUGACACUGUUCCUCUACCCGCCGCGCUCCAUGCCGUUGGAGCCGAACCUCGACAGUAGCACCCAAUGGCCGACCAACGGCCGCAUGCCCUGCUCCCCAUGCGCAAUGAUGCCUUCCCCGCUCCCCCUUCGCCUAUAAAUACUGCUCUUAGCAGCUGUAUUAAGGGAGGAUUUUUUUGGAUGGGAGAGGGCUCUUUUGAAACUGAAAAGGGGGAAGUUUGAAACAGGGGAGGGAAUUUAAGAGAAGAGGAAUAGGGAGUGUAGAAGGGGAAGAGGCUUGAUAAUGAAGAGAAGAGAAAGCAAAAUGAAAUACCAAGGGGAGUGAACAGUCGAGUCUCGCCACUGCUUGGAGCUGCCAUCCGUGAGCCACUACACCGCCACCGGCCUCCACCGCCAGCGAAGCAGUCAGAACAACAAGGCACCGCCUACCUUCCUCUUAGAACCACCACUUGGAAGAAGAAGCAGAGAAGCAAGGUGACAGAAACAGUGAAGCAAAGCAAACAGAAGCCAACCGGGAAGAAAAACAGAGACUGGGGUCUCUGCACGGAGAAGAAGAAGAACCGUGCCUUACCCUCGGGAACCAACACCAUCCCAGCCAUCCUCCCCAGUAACACGCCAACUGCACCAGCGUUGCCAAACGCCACCACCAUCCUGCCUCAGCUCAUCAUCUUCCUCCCACCCGGCGCUGCACCACUUGAAGAAAAGGCAGCACUUGCUCCUCUGCACGGGGAAGGAGUAAACAGCUGCUGUCAUUGGACUUUCCAGUCACUGUCAUCUUUCUCCCACACGCCGCCGCCACCAACACCUCCACAAAGCUGCUGCAGAGAAGGAAGAACAAGGUUGACAGAGGGAACAAAGGAAACAGGGAGAACAGAGCUGAAGAAAAAACAGCAGAGAGGAGGAAGAGCAGCCGCGGCAACGCCACCGCCAAACCGGCCACCAGCACCACCGUCAGCCCAUCUAUCCAAGCUCAUCAUCUCAGGUAACCCUUCCCGUUAUCACCAUUUUGGGGUCAUCUUCUUGCAUGCAGAACGUGCACAGUGCACGUUCUGCAAGCAAGAAAAUAAUUAGCCGGUUACUGUGCAUGCACAGUAACCAGCUAAUUAAUUAACGGGUUACUGUGCUCAUGUACAGUAACCCGGUUACUAUGCGUGUACAGUUACUGUUUGUGUGUACAGUACCCCUAGUUACUGUUUGUCUCGGGCUGGGCUGGGUCCAGCCCUGUAGAAAGUAAGCCCAAUUUAUUUUGGGCUGAUUUCGGCCCAGUUUCCUUUUGGGCCAGGUCCGGUCCAGUCAAAAAUUUCAUGAAAUGCUAAAAAAAAAACCUUUUAAAAAUAUGUGAUUUUCUGUAAUUUUAUUACUGUAUUUUGAUCAAUAUCGGUUUGUAUUUUUAUACUGUAAAGAUACAAAUCCGAUAUUAAAAUAUCCGGUUUUCGUCAAGACAUAAAAAAUAAAAUAAAAAAAAAUGUUUUGUUUUCAUGCAUACGGCCUAGUCUCUCUAAUAUAUAUAUAUAUAUAAAUAUUAUAACAUCAUAUUUUCACACAACAAAGGAAAUUUCAAAAAAAUAAUAUAUGUAUUAGCAUGCAUUUUGGCUUUAAUAACCAGUUUAUUCAAGCCAUGAGAACUAGGCCAAUAUUUCAAAAAUUCUAAAAAAUCUUUUUGUCUUCUUUUAGUAUAUGGGAUUACGAAUUUAUAUGUAAAACGUAUUCCUGAAAUUAAAAAUAUGUUUUUUUACAUAGACGCUAGAACGGUUAGGUUUUACCCGAUAAGAUAAGGACCUCCUUAUUGAGGAGGACUUUUCUUGAACCAUAGACGGACCCACAACUAGAAAUACAAUAACACCUUAAGUUUUUUUAUCAGACAAUCAAGCAAUGCAGCUUACCUUAGGUAGGGCGUAUUUGGGGUGCUAAUACCUUCCUUUUACGCAACCAGUCCCCGUGCCCGAUCUCUGAGACCAGUUAGGGUUCCUAGUGACCAAAAUACUAGGUGGCGACUCCCACACCUUUUUUCACCGCUAAGAGACAAAGAAUUCCUUGUCUCCCCACAUUGACCAGAUAUAUAUCCCCCCAUUAAAUUUACAUUUAUAUUUUGUGGGUGGACGAUCGCCGCGACGUCGCUCACGUGCGACACCAUGUUUAAAACAAAUCUUCACGUUUAGGAAAAAAGAAUUAUUUCACUGGGUUCGAAGUUUUAGUUUGGGAACGCGGCUGCGGCUGCGUUUCCAAAAAAUUUAAAAUUUUUUUUUUAUUAAAAUUUAAUAUGGUUUGUAUGUUUUGGAUCGUUUUGAUGUGCUGAUGUCAAAAAUGAUUUUUAAAAAAUAAAAAAACAUCAUUUGCAUACAUUUUAGCACGAAAAGUUAUUUGAAAAGCAUCCACAACCACACUGCCAAACACGCUAAACUAAUUAGAACGCAACUAUUCGUGGCUUAGAAGUAUCAGAUGCUUUUCUUAUGAAUACGAAAGUCUGCUAGACUAGCGAUUCUUUGUUUGCUAGUUGUUAGUUGCCAAUAUUGGGUUGACUAGGAGACCACAAAAGUGCAAAGAAAUGUCUUCAAUAUUUCCCUUCCUAUUUAAAGCUGGAUAUAUGAACUUGAAAUCAAAUUAUAUCUCGGAAAAAAAACCACAAGAAUGGAGAAAAUGGUUUCGAAAUUGGUGUUUAAAAUGACUUUGCUGAUGUUCAUGUUUCAGUUAGCAGAAGCAGCAGCACCUGUAGCGAAGUUUGGUUGUCCAGAUCGAUGCGGUGACAUUACCAUUCCUUACCCUUUUGGAACUGGAAAAGACUGCUACAAGGACGAAUGGUUCGCGGUUGAAUGCAACAAAACCACCAACCCUCCCAGAGCUUUUAUAAGUCGAAUCAAAAUGGAGGUGCUGAAUAUUUCAGUUAAGACAGCCACCGCUACUGUCAAAAGUCCAGUAAUAUCCUUCAAUUGUACUGGCAGGAAAGAUGGUGGAUCUCUGGAUCUCACUGGAUCUCCCUUUGUUUUCUCCGAUUUCUGGAAUGAGUUCAUUGCAGUAGGUUGUGAUACUCCAGUUCUCAUGAGCGGGAUUGAGCCGCAAGUCCUCGGUUGCGUGCCUACAUGCGGUAACCAGCAGAGUACUAACGUUUGGUUGCAAGAAAAUAAUAUGUGUUCAGGUCGAAAUUGCUGUCAGGCUUCAAUCCCUUCACUCCUUCAGGUUUUCAAACCAACAUUAGUUUCUACUAACGUUGAUCAAGGUAGAGAAGCAUGCAAGCUAGCCGUUUUGGUGAAUAGGACAUGGUUUGCAUCGAAUAUAAGUGAUCCAUUCGCACUGCAGUCUAUAGAUUACGUUCCAGCGAACUUGGGUUGGGUGAUGAACGUGAAUGAUUCUGAUAUUUCCAUUUCUUGCAACACGUAUUACAAUGAAUCCUUAAAAUCUGAAUGUGCGUGUUGGCAUGGAUUUGAGGUUAACCCUUACCUUGAACUUGGUUGCAUGGGUAAAUAUUGAUCUUAACUUUUUUCUUGAUUUAUUUAUUAUUUUUAUUCAAGCAAUAGUUUUUUUGAGUGUGUUUAUGUAAUCAAAUUUAAUGAUGGUAAGUGUCAGAUUAAAAUAAAAUGUUAAUUAACGAUGGCAAAUACAUGAUUGGUUUAGAAUCAGGAAGUAGUUUAGUAUUU